GAUUUCUGGUUCGACAUGCCCGACCUAGUGUGGCGACACAUUAAGUGUCGGUGUGUGUCUGCCAUCUUUGCCAGAGAACGGCGCCUCCCUUAAAUGGGCCGGCGUCGCCAUCUGGAUCAUUUACUUUGAAAAAAUUAGAGUGUUUCAAGCAGGCUUUAUGCUAUGAAUACAUUAGCAUGGAAUAAUAAUUUAGGACUUCGGUUCUAUUUUGUUGGUUUCUAGGACUGAAGUAAUGAUUGAUAGGGAUAGUUGGGGGUGCUAGUAUUCAGCGGCCAGAGGUGAAAUUCUCGGAUUCGCUGAAGACUAACUUAUGCGAAAGCAUU
RNAcentral lists this ribosomal RNA (323 nucleotides) under Allapsidae sp. RNAcentral's name for it is "SSU rRNA". The stretch from base 105 to 323 matches the Rfam family "Eukaryotic small subunit ribosomal RNA", at positions 736 to 955 of the family's 1831-position model. Lineage: Eukaryota; Cercozoa; Glissomonadida; Viridiraptoridae. The record is from RNAcentral.